CCUACGGGUGGCAGCAGUGGGGAAUAUUGGACAAUGGGGGGAACCCUGAUCCAGCCAUGCCGCGUGUGUGAAGAAGGCCCUCGGGUUGUAAAGCACUUUCAGUGAGGAAGAACGCCUGGUGGUUAAUACCCAUCAGGAAAGACAUCACUCACAGAAGAAGCACUGGCUAACUCCGUGCCAGCAGCCGCGGUAAUACGGAGGGUGCGAGCGUUAAUCGGAAUUACUGGGCGUAAAGCGCGCGUAGGUGGCUUGAUAAGCCGGUUGUGAAAGCCCCGGGCUCAACCUGGGAACGGCAUCCGGAACUGUCAAGCUAGAGUGCAGGAGAGGAAGGUAGAAUUCCCGGUGUAGCGGUGAAAUGCGUAGAGAUCGGGAGGAAUACCAGUGGCGAAGGCGGCCUUCUGGACUGACACUGACACUGAGGUGCGAAAGCGUGGGUAGCAAACAGGAUUAGAUACCCCAGUAGUC
This 465-nucleotide ribosomal RNA is filed under the name Vreelandella stevensii. RNAcentral's name for it is "partial 16S ribosomal RNA". It matches the Rfam family "Bacterial small subunit ribosomal RNA", at positions 338 to 795 of the family's 1533-position model. The record is from RNAcentral. Lineage: Bacteria; Pseudomonadati; Pseudomonadota; Gammaproteobacteria; Oceanospirillales; Halomonadaceae.